Molecule: ribosomal RNA, 597 nt
Filed under: Hepatozoon canis
Lineage: Eukaryota; Apicomplexa; Hepatozoidae
Description: bacterial SSU rRNA
Rfam family: Eukaryotic small subunit ribosomal RNA
Source: RNAcentral
UGCAUGCUUUUACAGUAUGGAAAUUGGUGAUUUAUAAUAACUUGGCAAAUCGCAAAGUGAAAACAGGCGAUAAAUCAUUCAAGUUUCUGACCUAUCAGCUUUCGACGGUAUGGUAUUGGCUUACCGUGGCAGUGACGGUUAACGGGGGAUUAGGGUUCGAUUCCGGAGAGGGAGCCUGAGAAACGGCUACCACAUCUAAGGAAGGCAGCAGGCGCGCAAAUUACCCAAUUCUAACAGUUUGAGAGAGGUAGUAACAAGAAAUAACAAUACAAGGCAAUUAAAAUGCUUUGUAAUUGGAAUGAUAGAAAUUUAAACCCUUUUUAAAGUAUCAAUUGGAGGGCAAGUCUGGUGCCAGCAGCCGCGGUAAUUCCAGCUCCAAUAGCGUAUAUUAAAAUUGUUGCAGUUAAAAAGCUCGUAGUUGAAGUUCUGCUAAAAGUAACCGGUCUGCUUUUAAUAAAAGUGGUAUCUUGGUGUGUAUUUAGCAAUGAUGUCCUUUGAAGUGUUUUUUACUUUAUUGUAAUAAAGCAUAUUCAGGACUUUUACUUUGAGAAAAUUAGAGUGUUUCUAGCAGGCCGACGCUUUGAAUACUGCAGCAUG